RNAcentral lists this ribosomal RNA (253 nucleotides) under uncultured bacterium. RNAcentral describes it as "partial 16S ribosomal RNA". It matches the Rfam family "Bacterial small subunit ribosomal RNA", at positions 524 to 776 of the family's 1533-position model. The record is from RNAcentral.
UACGGGGGGGGCAAGCGUUGUUCGGAAUUACUGGGCGUAAAGGGCUCGUAGGCGGCCAACUAAGUCGGAUGUGAAAUCCCCAGGCUCAACCUGGGAACUGCAUCCGAUACUGGAUGGCUUGAAUUCGGGAGAGGGAUGCAGAAUUCCAGGUGUAGCGGUGAAAUGCGUAGAUAUCUGGAGGAAUACCGGUGGCGAAGGCGGCAUCCUGGACCGACAUUGACGCUGAUGAGCGAAAACUAGGGGAGCAAACGGG